RNAcentral lists this ribosomal RNA (2045 nucleotides) under Triticum aestivum (bread wheat). RNAcentral's name for it is "partial small subunit ribosomal RNA". Lineage: Eukaryota; Viridiplantae; Streptophyta; Magnoliopsida; Poales; Poaceae. The record is from RNAcentral.
CCCUUUUCCAUCCUUCUCCCUCUUUUCUCCGCCCGUUUCACUCGCCGUGGCCGAUGGACGCACCACCGGAGACCACGGCCACUCCGAAAACGGCGGCGAUGAGAAGGCUCAGCCCUUGGCGCAGACCCGCGAGGCGGCACAGCGAUGGCAGCAACAUUUUUCUCCAACCCGUUUCCGUUUGAGGCUACGACAGAUGUUUCUUGGUUUCCUCAGACGUCUGCGGGGUAGACCAUGCUGCCCGCCGUGAGGGGAGACGCCGCCCCAGGCACGAGCACCCCGCCGCCGAGAAGCUCGUCCAUGGCCAUGGGCCUGUCACCAUCAGUAAGUGCAAGAAGAAAGCUCCGAGGAAGAUCCACAAAGCCGAUAGGGAGAAACAUGAGCCCGACCUGCUCAAUGAUCUCUUCAGUGAACUUGGCAAAAUAGGUGCUUUUAGUAUUCCACUCUCAGUCAUACACCAUGCCUGGUACUACGGGUCCUGCUACAAAAACUGAGGCUUCAUCAGUGAAAAAAUGCAGGUAAAUAAGUUGGACAUUGAGUGCUUGGCUUUAAUUUGGCUACCUGCCAUCAGUUCUAACUACUAAACUCAUUUCAGUUCCACUGAAUUCAAGCUUCAAGCAUCUGAGAGCAAGGCUGACAACUGCUGAGCAAGAUGAUCCUGAUAAAACAAGGGCAGCAGACUAAAUAGUUUCUUUUAUUGUUCUGCAGAUCUUCCCCGUGAGGCGCUACAGAUCAGAUGGGCGCUGUCGUGAAGGCCGCGAAGGCGUGGCCGGCGGCAUGGGUUAGCCUGUGGGUGGUACCACCGUGCUGCUCUGGACGUGCAUUGUGGUGCUGCUCAUGGCGGCUUUCGAAGGGAGACAAAGUGCAGGACAUAGAGAAUUUGGGGGCUACUCGGGUUUGGAUCAGCAAGCCAUGUCUGUUUCGUUUGGCAAAGGCCUUUUAUCCUUUUUCUAUAAUGCCAUGAACGUCUCUGAAUUUUUACACUGCUUCCAGCCGAUGCUUAAUAUUUUUUCCAACAUAUUUGUGACUGGAGCCCACACAUACAUAGUCAUGGAUCUGAUUUUGUGUUUUGGAUCUUGCUAUUUCACUGAUUUGGAACAUCUAUAUGCAGUUCUAGGCUUCUAGCUAGAUGGAUUAAUAGAUAUGUUGGACCUAUGCAUUUUAUAUUACCCGCAUGGAUCUAUGUUUGUUAUUUGAUGCUCGUCCUUAUCCCGGGGAAGAAUUUUUGCGAAGAGAGGUCAUUUUUGGAGAUAUGGAUUUGUUGUCACUUCAGCAGUAUGCUUUUAGUGCUACAGAGUAUGCUGUGAAAUUAGAUUAGAUUGAUGAUUAGCGAUUAACUAUAGAACUGUUGGCAGCAACAGUUUAACAUAUGUUGAUUUCUGGCCCAUCUUUAUUUGCUUUAAACUAUGAAUUUGAAAACAAAAGAAUUAUACAUUUGUUGAUGCUAAAUUUAUCGGUCCUUUUGUUUUGAUAAUCACCUCUUGCAUAUGUGUUCCUGCGUAGUUUUUGUACUGCCACAGCUUGGUUGUUUUGGCAGGAUAAUGUAUUUUCUUAUGAAAAACACGAAUGAGUAAUUACAUGAUAUAUUAUUAAUAUUAGACUAUGUUGUUUCUCUGAAACUAACUUUGUAUUUCAGCUUUGGAAACUGGUGUUCUAAUGUUAGUUCCGACAAGAGGGCCACUAUAACCACCAACUAGUCUGAGUUUCGUCGCCAUGCCAACAUUCACGAAGGAGACGUCUGUGCAUUUUGUUUCAGGAUCACUUAAAAGCGCCGCCUGGUUUUCACCGUGCACCGCCUCUAGAUGCACCAUCGAAGACACUGUAGCCCCUGUGUCAAUAUAAUCUAGCACUAAGUACUCUUAAUUAUGCUCUAUCCUGUGAUAACCUAUGGUUUGCUUUUGGCCCUAUCACAAGCUUUUCAAGACGCUAAAUCUAUCUUGUUGCUUAUGUAAAGUGCACUAUUAUCAGUCAGAUGUUUCAUGUUCAGAUCCAUUGUAACGCCUCGAGACCGAUGUGCCAGGUGUCUUCCAGUUAUUCGCUGUUGUUGC